GGGUCGAUGGCAAAGUCGGUAUCGCGUCUGUCUGCCAUGCUGGUUUUUGUAACUCCACAGCGGUAAACAGAGGAUCCCAGUUCGAAUCUGGGUCGACUCG
Non-coding RNA from Crucibulum laeve, 100 nucleotides. Lineage: Eukaryota; Fungi; Basidiomycota; Agaricomycetes; Agaricales; Nidulariaceae. The record is from the annotation of a GenBank genome assembly.